Molecule: non-coding RNA, 147 nt
Filed under: Nomascus leucogenys (northern white-cheeked gibbon)
Lineage: Eukaryota; Metazoa; Chordata; Mammalia; Primates; Hylobatidae
Source: Rfam by way of RNAcentral
GCUGGGUGUGGUGGCGCAUGCCUGUAAUCCCAGCUACUCAGGAGGCUGAGGCAGGAGAAUCGCUUGACCCCAGGAGGUGGAGGGUGCAGCGAGCCAAGCUGUGCCACUGCACUCCAGCCUGGGUGACAGAGCGAGACUCUGUCUCAA